GGGAAACGGGGCGCGGCCGGA
This 21-nucleotide non-coding RNA is filed under the name Sus scrofa (pig). RNAcentral also lists the same sequence under 1 other name. The record is from RNAcentral. Lineage: Eukaryota; Metazoa; Chordata; Mammalia; Artiodactyla; Suidae.